UGAAAACAUGGUAAAGACAUACAGUGCUUUUAUGCACAUUGUUAAGCUAAAUCAAGGUCAUUUAUAAUCAUUUUCCUUUUUUAUUUAAGAUUUUAAGUAAACAAAUUUUAGAAUUUUCAGCAUUUCAAAAAUGAUUUUAUUUUUCAAGUCUUAAAUUCAAUAUUUUACACCUAUGUUUUGAGGCUAAAAAUAUGAAAUUAUAUAAUGUAUGAUACAGGGUUAUCAAAUAUCUAAUAAUUUUUGAAAUUAGCUCUUGUUUUUGGUUUUUUUGUUGUUGUUUUUACAGAUUUCAGGUUACAAACUGCAAAGUUUAUGCAUAAUUAAGUAUGGUAUGGUUGCCAGAAAAGCCUAAAAUUACUACUUAGAAAAUUUAAGACUGUUUACCCCCAUUGUCUUGUACUUGCGAGCUAACUUGUACUAUUCUUGUGAAAGCACUGUCAUCUUUUAGUAGCAAAUUUUGAUAAUGUUUCUCGUGGAAAAAAAAAUCAGUAUCUAUCUUUAGAACAAUGUAAUUAUAAUGUGGGAAGUGUGCAUGAAUGAGAGAGAGUGUGUGUGUAUCUGUGUGUGUGUGCGCGUGUGUGUGUGUCUUUUAAUAGUUUAUGCCAGCAAUCUUUGCUUGAAUGUUUAACGAUGCCUUCAGUGUGAUGCUGGCCAAUAGAUGAUUGCAGUUUAAAAUGUCAUUAUUGUGCAGGCUUGGAUAACUAACAUUCCAUGAUGUAGCUUGUUUCUGAUGAGAUGAUUGUAGGUACAUUUUUCUCAUUAUCCAAUCAUCUGUGGGAUACUUAGUUUUCUAAUGUGCCAUUAUCUAUUUUUAUUCUGCAGUUAUGUUCAAAAUACAGUACAUAUUUUAAAAUAGAAUAAAUUGUUAAACAUAAAAUUUUAAAAGUAGUAGAUGUGCGUAAGAAAACUUUGUAAAAUAGUUAUGAGUCCUACCCAGUAGCAACUUCUGGCAUUCAAGCAGGAUUCCACUAUGUAAAUAUCUGUAAUGCAUUUAUAAUAAGUUGUGUAGUUUGUCCUGCAUCCAUACUACACUAUUUGCUAAAGUCUCAGUGCCAUCUCCUAAUGAGACUGACAUUUUAAAAGUCUGUAUGGAAUAUCCUUGAUAAUUCAAGGAAAUAUCCCUCCUGCCUAAGUUCCAAACUGGGAAACAUUCAAAUUAUAUAAAUGACAUUUCAGGACUUUAAGUAUGAAGAUAAUGGGAAUUUUAUUGUUUUGCUUUUUAAAAUGAGAGCAUUUUUAUUUGAUAAUUUUUUUUAAAUUUUUAAUUUUUAACUAAUUUCAUUAUUUUAAAGUAAUCAGUUUUUCAAAUCAUGAUUUUGAUAUCAUUAUUCUAAGGAGUUAUCUCAAAGGCACAAAAUAUGAAUUCUGCAAGAAGGCUAUUUUUUAUUGUAGUUUGAAUGGGUUAGGAAAAGCCUCAAUUUUUCACUCUUAAGUCCUUCAGUACAUUUUUCUUUCAUCUUAUUACUUAUGCAAGUUAAGGUUCUUUGGUAACAGAAUUCUUGCAACUGUAAAAUAAAACUACAUAGAUGUAAGAAGUCAUGUAAACGGUUAACAAGCUUACCAAGGUUAGCAAAACUUUCAUUGUAAAUCAGUCUGUACUGAGCAAAUAAAAAUCAUUAUUAGUUGUAUAAACACAAAUUCCAUUUUGACUUUCAGGAUGUCAUACUACUUCUGUACCUAGCAUUUUCAGUCCUUAUAUUUGCAAUGUUACACAAACUGUACUAUUUUCUUUUAUGUGCAGUUUGCAUGAGUAAACCAUCAGAGAAUAAAUUCUAUCUUUAAAUUAUGUUCAU
This 1793-nucleotide long non-coding RNA is filed under the name Homo sapiens (human). RNAcentral describes it as "non-protein coding lnc-CHN1-5:11". Lineage: Eukaryota; Metazoa; Chordata; Mammalia; Primates; Hominidae. The record is from RNAcentral.